Molecule: ribosomal RNA, 468 nt
Filed under: uncultured bacterium
Lineage: Bacteria
Description: partial 16S ribosomal RNA
Rfam family: Bacterial small subunit ribosomal RNA
Source: RNAcentral
GACGAACGCUGGCGGCGUGCUUAACACAUGCAAGUCGAACGGAAAGGCCCUGCUUUUGUGGGGUGCUCGAGUGGCGAACGGGUGAGUAACACGUGAGUAACCUGCCCUUGACUUUGGGAUAACUUCAGGAAACUGGGGCUAAUACCGGAUAGGAGCUCCUGUUGCAUGGUGGGGGUUGGAAAGUUUCGGCGGUUGGGGAUGGACUCGCGGCUUAUCAGCUUGUUGGUGGGGUAGUGGCUUACCAAGGCAUUGACGGGUAGCCGGCCUGGGAGGGUGACCGGCCACAUUGGGACUGAGGUACGGCCCAGACUCCUACGGGAGGCAGCAGUGGGGAAUAUUGCACAAUGGGCGGAAGCCUGAUGCAGCAACGCCGCGUGCGGGAUGACGGCCUUCGGGUUGUAAACCGCUUUCGCCUGUGACGAAGCGUGAGUGACGGUAAUGGAUAAAGAAGCACCGGCUAACUACGUG